RNAcentral lists this ribosomal RNA (774 nucleotides) under uncultured Bacillota bacterium. RNAcentral describes it as "bacterial SSU rRNA". It matches the Rfam family "Bacterial small subunit ribosomal RNA", at positions 73 to 857 of the family's 1533-position model. The record is from RNAcentral. Lineage: Bacteria; Bacillati; Bacillota.
ACUUCCUUCGGGAAGUGCAUAAAGUGGCGCACGGGUGAGUAACACGUAAGUAAUCUGCCCUCGAGUGGGGAAUAACGUCCGGAAACGGACGCUAAUACCGCAUAAUGCAGCGGCACCGCAAGGUGACAGUUGUUAAAGGAGCAAUCCGCUUGAGGAGGAGCUUGCGGCAGAUUAGCUAGUUGGUAAGGUAAUGGCUUACCAAGGCUACGAUCUGUAACCGGUCUAAGAGGACGGUCGGUCACACUGACACUGAAUAACGGGUCAGACUCCUACGGGAGGCAGCAGUCGGGAAUUUUGGGCAAUGGGCGAAAGCCUGACCCAGCAACGCCGCGUGAAGGAUGAAGUAUUUCGGUAUGUAAACUUCGAAAGAAUGGGAAGAAACAAAUGACGGUACCAUUUAUAAGGUCCGGCUAACUACGUGCCAGCAGCCGCGGUAAUACGUAGGGACCAAGCGUUGUUCGGAUUUACUGGGCGUAAAGGGCGCGUAGGCGGCAUAUUAAGUCAGCUGUGAAAUCUCCGAGCUUAACUCGGAACUGUCAGCUGAUACUGAUGUGCUAGAGUGCAGAAAGGGCAAUCGGAAUUCUUGGUGUAGCGGUGAAAUGCGUAGAUAUCAAGAGGAACACCUGAGGCGAAGGCGGGUUGCUAGGCUGACACUGACGCUGAGUGCGCGAAAGCCAGGGGAGCAAACGGGAUUAGAUACCCCGGUAGUCCUGGCCUUAAACGAUGAAUACUUGGUGUCUGGAGUCUUUAAAGCUCCGGGUGCCGUCGCUAACG